AGAGAGUGGGAGGUGACAAAAGAUGAGGUCAGUGGGGGAGGAGAGGAAGGGGAAGCAGGCCCCAGGCCUGGAAAGCCCCCUUAAGACCUGUCAGUUUAUCUUAAGGAUAGAGAGAAGGUUAGAAGCAUAUUGCAAAGACAGAGAUAUUCACAUUUACAUUUCAGAAAGCCAGAAAGAGGGGCUGGGUGGGGCACAACUUCCUUGGGAGCUAGCUGGAGACAGACGGUCAGGAGGGAGAGGAUGGGGGCCUGUGGGGUGAGCUGGCAGCCAUGGAGAUGAACUGAAGGCUGACUGGUCACUGAGGCGUGGACAGUGGUAAUUGUCCCUGAGCUAGAGGGUACUGGAGUGGGGAAGGGUGAUGGUUGGGCCAAGUUAAGUGUUGAAGAAACCAAAACAUAGUGUUUAAGAACUUGGACUCUAUUGACCUCUCCAGGUCUCAGUUUCCUCCUCUGCAAAAUGGGGGUGAUAAUAAAAGUAUCCCCUAUUGUUGCUGGGAAGGUUGAGUUAGUGAGUGUGAAAUGCUUAGCAAAGUACGUAAAACCUUUCAUUACUGGCUUUUAUCAUCACGAGGCUAUGACGAUUAUUGUGGUAGGGAAGAGGGUUUCCCAAGGGGAGACAUCCCGGAGGGUGUGCGGGGCUGGAUCUCAGGAGAAAGUUCUGGGUGGGAGAUGAGUUUUGGAACCCCUGGCAGACAUGCUGGAUGAGGACCUUUUGGGAGCAUGAAGAGGAAGGAGAAAAAUGGGCCUGGGGUGGGUCGCAGGGAAAUGCUGGUGUUGGCCACAGAGUCAGGGCUCAAGAGGAUUGGGGAGGAAGGUGCCCUCAGAGGAGAGAGAAGGGCCCGGGGAACAGGCAGCCUGGAGAGAAGGAGCAUGGGCUGUGUUGUCGAGUGAUACUGAGUAAGGCUUGAGUUUCACCCUUGGUGGGUGAGAGUGAACAAAACAAGAAUACUGGAUGAGUAAGAUUCCAUCUCUUCUCUCAAGCCGCCCAAUAUGCUUCCACGAUGCUUCAGCGAAAGACCCAGGAGUGAUAUUCAAAAUAUGGGAUUGCUCAGGCACUGACCGAGGCUUAGCUGGAGUGGGUCCCAGAGGUCCCCUGAGGUGCCCCGCCUGACUUCACAGCUGCAGGAUCAUGGCCAGAAGACCCCCCAGCUCCUGGCGCACCUGUUAACAGAAGGACUCUGUGAGCCAUCGCUGCAGAGAGAAGGAAUGGUGAGGCUGCAGGCACCACUGAACCACUUCAAGAAAGCCACCAAAGCCAGAAAGGAC
Camelus dromedarius (Arabian camel) is the source of this 1265-nucleotide long non-coding RNA. RefSeq lists it as uncharacterized. The record is from RefSeq and is a predicted model, not a curated record. The transcript has 4 exons. Lineage: Eukaryota; Metazoa; Chordata; Mammalia; Artiodactyla; Camelidae.